GAUGAAGAACGCAGCGAAACGCGAUAGGUAAUGUGAAUUGCAGAAUUCCGUGAAUCAUCGAAUCUUUGAACGCACAUUGCGCCUUCUGGUAUUCCGGUAGGCAUGUCUGUCUGAGCGUCAGCAAACCCCCUCAGCUGAAUACUUUUGUGUUCGCGCUGGUCUUGGGCCUGGAUGCUGGGUUAAACCCCGCGCCUGUCCUAAACUUGCUGCACGACCGCUGGCUUCGGCUGGGUCAAUGGAGUGGUGUUACAAUCUUCCAGAAGGCCUUCAAUCGUAGCUUGGUGGCGUUAAACCUGCCGUCCCGUCAGGGACCGAAGUUUUGACCUCAGAUCAGAUAAGGAUACCCGCUGAACUUAAGCAUAUCAAUAAGCGGAGGA
This 377-nucleotide unclassified non-coding RNA is filed under the name soil metagenome. Its description in RNAcentral is "partial contains 5.8S ribosomal RNA, internal transcribed spacer 2, and large subunit ribosomal RNA". The stretch from base 1 to 120 matches the Rfam family "5.8S ribosomal RNA", at positions 35 to 154 of the family's 154-position model. The record is from RNAcentral.